This is a long non-coding RNA of Drosophila arizonae, 2874 nucleotides long. The record is from RefSeq and is a predicted model, not a curated record. NCBI's taxonomy places the organism in Eukaryota, Metazoa, Arthropoda, Insecta, Diptera, Drosophilidae.
UCAGAAACGCUGUACAUAUGUAUGUAUUAAAAAAAUAUGUAAGUAUGUAUGCACAUAUACAUAUAGAAGUGUAUUUACUAUAAACCGUUGGCUUGUUAUUCAAAACUUUCACGUUUUACGCAGUAUUUUGCACUAGCAUUUGUUUCACACUGUACAACUUUUCACCUUUUUAAUUUAUUUUUUCUUCAGUACAUGGGCAUUGUAUUGUAUGUAUGUAUUGGAGUAGUUUUUCACAAUCUAUUUAUUUGCCUCAGCCUAUAAACAAUGCUACGCGGUAAGCAGAUGUAGAUUUAAUACUUUUACACUAUUCAAUUGAAAUUCACUUUUUAACAAUUUUCCUCCCAGUGAAUUUCUACAGAUAUUCACAAAAAUUUGGCGAGGAAACGUUUUCGUACGUCUUAACGCCGCCGCAAACAUUUUCGAUUAAACGACGGCCAGUGUGAGCAAAGAAACAAAAGAGCGCGAAAUGCGGAGAGAGCAAACCAACCAACCAAGCAGCCAGUCAGCGAGCCAGGCAGCGAACAGACGGAGAGAGCGUAAGAAACAAAAACGGGUGGAUGAGACGGAGAGUAAAUGCGCGCGCACAGUGUUGCUUUGGAAUUCUUCAUUUUCAUUUUAGUAGCUGUUGUUGCUAUAUUACUGCAGUGGCAACGGGCUACGACUACUAGCAGCAUAUCAAACAGGGAGGCAACGCAGCAGAGCAACAUCGCGAGCCUCUUCGAGCAUAAAAAGAAAAAAGUAAAAUGGGGAAAAUGCUACUUUGAGUAUUAAAGUAAAUACAUGGUGGCUAUGUAUAUAAUAUGUCGCACAUAUAAUCUACGCUCAGCACACAAAUGUAUUCACGGCGUGUAACAAGUCUUGUUGCCGUGCGUUCAAAUGGCAAUCUGUGUGGCAGAAAACAUUUCGUGGUAGCGACCGAGCGAAUGGAUGUGUGCGGAGCACAGCACGCUGUAUUCAUUCGAAAAAUCACUCCAAACUUCUUUGACCAGAAUGGUUCGACGUUGGAGUAGAGAGGAAGCAUAAUUCGAACAGAAUAUAGACAGCUAGGCAAGAUCACGAGUUAAAUUGUCAUUUUUCGUUGAAGCUUCACGUUUUCGAUGUGUAAUCUAAAACAAUUACGAAAAAUCAAGCAAAGUGCAAAAAUGGCUCAUAAACCUGAAUACGCAAAGCUUACGUAAGUGCAAAAGGCACGACAGUUACAUGCGGUGUGACAGAGUCAGCAUGACUCUCUAAUGAACGGCAACAGGGUGUUUUUAUCGUUCGUCAUGAGGCGCAUAUAGUGUAGCGACACCCUGUCGUGAGAGCGCACUUUUGGUGAGAGAUGAGAACACCCACACUGAGAAAACGGCAUACAAAGAUAGAGGCCACUCGCUCACGAGUUCGGCGGAGCAAUAGCGAUGAUAUUGCAGUACAUAAUGAAAUCGACAAAACUGAAAAUCAGAAACCAAACAGACGAGUAGCUGGCUACAACACUGCCACGGUUACAGUUUGCGGCGGUGGCGACGAUGACGACGCGGCAUACACCUUGCCUCACCUCACUAUCCACUUGGCUCACGCAUACAAACACACGCACGCACACACAUGCAUGCAGUUAUGUACAUAUGUAUGUGUAUAUUCUUUGCAAGUGGUGGUGAAAUUGUAGUUUUUGCUGCUGUCAAAACGGAAACGAGAAGAAGCACAAAUACAGAGACACCACAGCGGGCAUAGAAAGCAACCAGACAAUUCGAGCACAAGGUAAAAAAGGAGAAAAAAGUGGAUGCAAGUUGCGGCGAUGCCAACGCCGUCGUCUCACCAUACAAUGGUGUGUAUGCAUAUCGUACAUACAUACGUUUAAUGGUCAGCAGGGAGAGCAUUGGUGCUGCCGCUCUCUUCCCAUCUCUUUUUCUCUGCAAUGGUCAAACACAUGUUGGAAUUUGAUCGGCCGCGAGAAAAGAGCAACUCAAUAACUUAGCGGCUGCGAAGCGUCAAUAAAAAUCUGUAUACUUGCGAAUUGUGCGCUCAUCGUUGUCGUCGACGUCGUCGCCGUCGUCAUGGUGGUGGUGGUGGAAAUGGAAACCUUGCAAUUAUCGAUUUCUUUUUCAUGCGUUCGCUUCUGCUGCAUUGCGCAGCGGGGGCGGCGAGAGAGCAACUUAAAAGUGGAGAGAGCACUCGACAGAAUGAGAGUGAGCGCCACUGUCACCUGCUAGCUGCACAACAAAUGCAACUGCAACUGCAAUUGCGUUAGUCAAUGCAAAUCGAGUGAACGAAUUUUUAGACACACAUAUGACGCGCUGCCAAAGUUCAAAGUUCACGAGCAGGCGCCUUGUGCAGCAGCAGCAGCAGCAGCAGUAGAAGCAGUUGCAAACGCCUACAAGAGCAGCGCGUAGCAGAGCCUUAGCGUGCACCUACAAGAAAGACAAGUGCAAAAGGGACAACCACACAUGUGUGCGUGCAUUUGAAUUGUGUCUAUGUGUGCAUGUGUGUGUGAGCGUGCUGCACUCUUAAUAUAUGCAGUCCAGUGUACACACACAGGCACAGAAGUUUGUUUGCCUUUUUCCAGGUACUUCCGCUGCUUGUUUACGUAUAUGCUCUCGGAUGUUAUUUGCUAUUGCGCAACAAUCAUAUUACAAAAAUAUAUAUAUUUAUAUAUGUAUAUAUCGAGCAUACACAACAAAUGUGCAGAAAAGCAGCAAAAGAAUCGUCAACAUAAUGCAAAUUGCGAUUCGUGAAGAACAAUAGCAACUGUAAUUUUAUGCCGUGUUGCAAAUUUGCCAUCGUCUCUUGUCAAUUUGUAUUUAAAUGUAACAAGAAUUAUUCACGGUAUCAGAUAAUAGAGUUUACAAUUACGUGCAAAAUCAGCAAAAAUGUGCGAAACCCAAAUUCAUAUUGCAUAAA